Mesoplodon densirostris (Blainville's beaked whale) is the source of this 2638-nucleotide long non-coding RNA. RefSeq lists it as uncharacterized. The record is from RefSeq and is a predicted model, not a curated record. The transcript has 3 exons. Lineage: Eukaryota; Metazoa; Chordata; Mammalia; Artiodactyla; Ziphiidae.
GCUCGCUUGGGUGAAUGGGUUUCAGGGUGGCUGAGGAAGCCGGCCAAAGAGGCAGAGUGAAAAGGCCAGGCCCCGGGUGGCGCUGCGCACGGUUUCCAUGGCGACGCCAGCUGCUGCCUGGCCCGGCUCGCUGGCUCCUUCCGCGGGGCCUCGGCUGCCUCCACGUGGUUACCCGGCUCGCUGAGGAGGAAAGAUCUGACAGGUCGCCUUGGCCCGAGUUCCUUUUACUAGCCGUGUCAGGGUGGAGCCCCGUUUCCUGCACCAUAAGACAGGUCUACCUGUGAGGGCAUCGGUUUGCAGCCACCCCUCGUUUUAAUUCUCGCAUUUGAAAGCAUGCCUGGACCCAAUCGUUGGAGAUGCAGUCCUCUACCUCUGAAAGGCCUUCCUGCUUAAGGGGAGCAGCUUUGUGGCUGCAGAGGGCAGAACCAGACGGUGAGAGGCACAGGGAUGGAGAGUCUAGCUCAGCACAACAAGGAAGAGAUUGCUAAUAACCGGAGCUUUUUCACAGGGAUGAGCCUCCCAUCACUGGAUGUAUUCAAGCGGAGGCUGACAGGAUGCUGGGGUAUCCCCAACCCAGGAGCCAGUCAGAAAGGAGACUGAGUUCCUGCGAUUGUGAACACUCCUUUUCUGUAGCCUCCCUGCAUCUCAGGAGGACAGCAGCCGCCUCCCACAGCUGCUCAAAAACCCCUCUGCCGGCUGCCUAAAGACUACGGGACUAAGUCACAGCUAAGCCGGCCCUGCUUGCUCUGGAUUUAAGAGUCUCUGUUUCCUCUCUGCCCAUGGCCAGGAGAGGAGCAAACCCCAGCGUGGGCCGAGCAGUGGGCUGGGCUGAUGCUGCGCAGGCCGGUCCAAGCCCUCCCCGCUUUUCAGGAAAGGGCGCCCUCACGUCCGUGGGGCUACUGCAGCCAGGCACGGUUGCCUGAAACUCGUCCACUCACAGUCCAGACUCCUGCAGGGACACUCCAGGGGCAUCAUGGAUAUGAGGAAAGGGCUCUCCUGCCUAAGCUAUCAGGCCAACCCCAGCUCCCCGACCUCUUCCCAGCAGAGACGCAGCUGCCCCUAGACGGACAGAACUGUACCCGGGGAGUCCUCAGGGACCCGGACCCACACAGGCCAAGACACAGGCUGCCUGGUCCCAGCUGCGGCGGAGAGUGGGCUAACACUUCCAGAAGGCUCUGAACUCUGGCAGGUGUGAUUGCUUUGCUCCAGGACUGGUCUCAGCUGCUGCAGUGGAUCCCUCUGAGCUGCUGGAGGGUAGAGAGUUGGCAUCUGGUGCCACUCUAGGGGGGCCGGGGUGUUGUGCUUGUAGGAAGAACAAGGUCCGUCCUGGCCUGAAGGAGCUGUCCUUUGCUGAUAGGACUGCAAACUCCUCUGUUAUCAAAAUGAUGAUGAUGACGACGACAAUAGAAAAGGCAGGAGGGAGGGUCAGCUGCUGAGCUGUGGCCCCACUGGAGCUGCCCAGACUUUCCAGUGGCCGCCAUGGAGGGGGAGGGUCUAGCUGUCAUGAGCUCCCCGCCUGCCUUGGCUGUGGCCCUACACCUGGGGGCCAGUGUGGAGACAGCAGGUUAGCAUUCCUGACCCCUCAGAUGUGGAGACCCAGCUGGGAGCUGAGGGACGGGUGGGGGGCUGGCAGGGGCCGCCCUGCAGGGGUGGGGCGGGCCCGGAGGCCUCCUAGCACUUCUAGCCAGCUGACCCUGUUAUUUUUAGCUCUGGAAUGCUCCUCUCCGAGCCCCCUUCAGUUCUAUUUAUCUUGGUUUUGUGUCUCUCUCUGUUCCUCUCCAGGAAACUCUGCAGCCGGAGUGGGAUAAAUGGAGGGGAGGGGGAGGAGAUUCGGGGGGCCAGAAAGAAUAGGAGAAAUGGGCUGGGGCCAGGCUGGAGGAAGAAGUGGCCACUGCUCCACCCCGCCCCUCCCCCAGGUCCAGAGGCUGCCUCUUUCUCUUUUCUGCAUUUCUUGGGUUUGGGCCACCAGGCAACCCCUCCGCCUUCUCCACCACCCCUGAUAAGCCCCCCUUUGUUCUUGUCAGCAUCCCUGUCCCAGUCCAGGCCUUGGACAGCCCCAUCCUCUCACCUUCUCUCCUGGGCCCUCAGGUGAGGUCAUAUCUAGGGUGGGGGUGGGGAGCGUCAGCCCCUGACCCCUGCCUCUCGGUCAGGAUGCACUGUGAUCCCUUGAAGGACCUCCUCUGUGAAAAUGAAGAACAGGCGCGGUGGGACUGGGGACUGGGUGAACCCGGACCUCAGUCACAUUCUCUGUAAAAUGGGAAUGACAACCGGUCCUCUCUCUGAGGGGCCUGUCGUCAGGGCUGCAUGAAAUGGUGGAUGUGAAGCACUAUUGACACGGGAAAGCUGCGAGCCUCCGGUUUGGGGUCGGUCACAUCCCAUGGGGUGCUUACGGGGACUGGUGAGCAUGAGUCUCCUGGAGGCUUUUUAGCAGCACUUGGCAGGAAGCCACAUCCCUCCCCGCAGCCUUCCUUAGUCACCGCCUGGCUGCUGAAGCUCUGGUUACAAGGGCGGAUCACUCAACCACCGGCUCCUCUCCCGCCUCCCCCAGCGCAGGGGUGCUGGUCUGCAAGAUGCUGGGGAUGAGGGGCACCUGUUGGCUGCCUGAGGCGGGGGCGGGGUGGAGGGGGGCUUCCAGAUG